Balaenoptera ricei (Rice's whale) is the source of this 2202-nucleotide RNA transcript. It is a transcript of the gene named STING1 ER exit protein 1, with no coding region annotated. The record is from RefSeq and is a predicted model, not a curated record. Lineage: Eukaryota; Metazoa; Chordata; Mammalia; Artiodactyla; Balaenopteridae. The transcript is spliced from 10 exons.
CUUUUGCCUUUUGUUUUCCUACUGCUGCUCUGAGCUAUGCCUAAAGUAGUUUCCCGGUCCGUAGUCUGCUCCGACACCCGGGACCGGGAGGAGUAUGACGACGGCGAGAAGCCCCUUCACGUCUACUACUGUUUAUGCGGCCAGAUGGUCCUGGUGCUGGACUGUCAGUUGGAGAAAUUGCCCAUGAGGCCCCGGGAUCGGUCCCGUGUGAUUGAUGCUGCCAAACACGCCCACAAGUUUUGUAACACAGAAGACGAGGAGACUAUGUAUCUUCGGAGGCCUGAAGGCAUUGAACGACAGUACAGGAAGAAAUGUGCAAAGUGCGGGCUGCCACUCUUCUACCAGUCCCAACCGAAGAAUGCUCCUGUGACCUUCAUUGUGGAUGGAGCAGUAGUCAAGUUUGGUCAGGGUUUUGGGAAGACGAACAUAUAUACUCAGAAACAAGAGCCUCCUAAGAAGGUGAUGAUGACGAAACGGACUAAAGACAUGGGCAAGUUCAGCUCUGUCACUGUGUCUACUAUUGAUGAAGAGGAAGAGGAGAUUGAGGCUAGAGAAGUUGCUGACUCGUAUGCGCAGAAUGCCAAGGUGAUUGAAAAGCAGCUGGAGCGCAAAGGCAUGAGCAAGAGGCGGCUGCAGGAGCUGGCUGAACUGGAAGCCAAGAAAGCGAAAAUGAAGGGAACCUUGAUUGACAACCAGUUCAAAUGAUCAGGACCUUUCUGUGAACCCAGACUGGAGACAGGCAUUGAGAUCAGGAAGAAAAAGAGCGUUUUCUUGACUACAUGGACUGGUUCCUACCUUUAUGCCCCAGCAGAAGGCUUUACGUGGCUUACCAGUGAUUCUCCUACAUUCGAAGGACCAGAGGGAAUAGGUGGCCACAUCCCAUCAUGCCCUUCAUCAUAGCAUCUCAAAGGACAAGUGAGUGGAGUACUUUCUGGAGGUAGAAGGAUGGACUGCGCAAACUCUAAAGGUCAAUUCUUAAUCUCAGCUCGCUCCUGCUGGCUCAGCCCUAAACCCAGACCGAGGAGGAGGAGGACUUUCAAGAAAGCCCCUGUCUGUCCUCCCAGUGAUGCCUUUGGAAUGGAGCUGCAGAGAGAGCUUCAGAGUGGGAGCUGAACCCACCACCAGAAAUGGGUCACCUGCUUCUUUCUGUUUGGCUCCUUUGAACCUGGGCCCGAGAAAGGAGUCCCUGUAACCUGUUGGCUGCUGCUCUGGAGCACAGCCAUAGGGUCCCCACCCUGAUGGAGGAACUCGUCAGGAUGUGCUGUGAUUGCCCGUCAACUGCUCUGGGGCCAGUGCUAGAAGGUCAUUUGGAAGGCACGCCGCUCUGUGUCGGGCUGAUGCAGAAGCAGGAGAGACCUGGCGAGAAGGCCUAGGAGGAGCUGGGCUGACCACCCCGCCCUUUGAAGAGCAUGGGGCACCCCUGUUGUCUGGAGCAUAGCCUGCCAAUCCGGUAGAAUGACUUCUGAUGACCGCCAAGAUCUGGACCUGGAUUCCAGGCUGUCUUCUUGCUCUGCAGCCGCUCAGGGCCGAGGCCCAUUGCCAUAACAGCAUACACAUCUUUGGGGAGGCUGAGCGCUGCACCCAGCUCGGCAGCCAGAGCAACUCUUCCCAGAAGGCACUGGCUGGGGAAGCUCUCGACAGGGCUCUGAUCACACUCUAGAGGCAGAGAGGGGCCCCAGAGCAGCCCCAGGCAAAAGUCAGCAUAGUGACACAACCCUGCCUUUAUACAGAACUUUUAUCCUUCAUACGGGCUGUUGUUUCGGUUUUCCUCUCUAAGAUAGCAGUCGGCUUUUUCCCAAUAGGAAAAUAAAAAUGCACCAAGGGGCCCCAGGUCAGUAAGUGAAACCCUUGAAACUUACAGCUAGGGAAUGGCUAAAUUCAGGAAAAUAGAUCUAACACAGGAACCACUAACAUUAAAAGUUUUAUUUUUAUUUCAAAAGCACUUAGGGCUUCCCUGGUGGCGCAGUGGUUGAGAAUCUGCCUGCCAAUGCAGGGGACACGGGUUCGAGCCCUGGUCUGGGAAGAUCCCACAUGCCGCGGAGCAACUAGGCCCGUGAGCCACAACUGCUGAGCCUGCGCGUCUGGAGCCUGUGCUCCGCAACAAGAGAGGCCGCGAUAGUGAGAGGCCCGCGCACCGCGAUGAAGAGUGGCCCCCACUUGCCGCAACUAGAGAAAGCCCUCGCACAGAAACGAAGACCCAAC